This is a long non-coding RNA of Triticum dicoccoides, 1075 nucleotides long. RefSeq lists it as uncharacterized. Lineage: Eukaryota; Viridiplantae; Streptophyta; Magnoliopsida; Poales; Poaceae. The transcript is spliced from 2 exons. The record is from RefSeq and is a predicted model, not a curated record.
UGCAGUUGGUGGCCGAGUCGCGUGUGUGCGCUAGCCUGGGUAUAAAACCCUCCAUUGUGUACUGAUGUAGGGGCGCCGGUCUGUUGCCGCGCCACGAUGAUGGUAUAUGCCGAACCGAGGGGGAGGGGCCUAAGAAAGAUCUAGUCUUCAUCGGGACCGUGGUCGUUCGGCGGCCGGGGCGUUCGUCGCCGGAAAAUUCUAUUCAUCUUCUUCUACCUUCGUCCGGCGGUCGUCGCCGGAGGGCGGUUCGGCGUAUGUCGCCGGUGGGUUUGUCCCAACAUUUGGUAUCAUGAGCUUGGUGUCUUGGGCGUGUUUGCCGUGCCGGAGGCGUGACAGCGAUGACGGCGUUCGCCGGCGGCUGCGCGAUGGAGCUCCGGGCGGUGUGUCGGCCUAUGGAGGUGUGCGGUGCUGCAGCGGUCAUGGCGGAGGCGGAGGCGACACACGGUGAGUCCGCGAUGAGCUCGGCGGACGUGGAGGCUUCGGCGGCGCGGUGGCGGCACGCGGCAAGCACGGUGGCGACCGGCGUCGGUGCGGCAGGUCGAGUCCGUGGCAGUGGCGACCGGCGUUAGCGCGUCAGGUCGGGUCCGCGGCCGUGACGACAAUGACGAUGGAAGCAGCAGCAUCAACUCCAGCGACCACGAGCAGGCGACAUGUUACAGCGACGACGGAGGUGUUAAAGACGACGUCGACGACGAGCCGGGGCUCGUGCUGGCAGGCUACCCGGCGAGGUUGUGGCUUAGGGUGAAAGUGUUAGACAUAAGCCACGUGUGUGUGUGCGUCGAGCCGGGCGCCGGUGCAUGGCCGCGUCAAUGGUCUUGGCGAGCGUGUCCGUUGCUGUGGUGAUGGGUUGAGCAGGCGCUGCGUGCGUGGGUAGCAGAGGGCUACAAAGCCGGGCCACGUCCAGGUUGUUAGCUAGGUGCAUGCAUCAGAUGGAUAUGACGCGCAUGUAGGCUAGUUAGUUGGUUAGCUACCGGGUCACGUGGUUAGUUAGCAAGAUUAGAAGAACGCCCGUGCGUUGCAACGGGGUCACAUUAAUUUCAAGAGUUCAAUAUUACGACAUUGAUGAUCUUUUUUA